ACUCCUACGGGAGGCAGCAGUGGGCAAUAUUGGACAAUGGGCGGAAGCCUGAUCCAGCCAUGCCGCGUGCGUGAAGAAGGCCUUUUGGUUGUAAAGCACUUUAAGCGAGGAGGAGGCUCUUAAGGUUAAUACCCUUGAUGAGUGGACGUUACUCGCAGAAUAGGCACCGGCUAACUCUGUGCCAGCAGCCGCGGUAAUACAGAGGGUGCGAGCGUUAAUCGGAUUUACUGGGCGUAAAGCGUGCGUAGGCGGCUGAUUAAGUCGGAUGUGAAAUCCCUGAGCUUAACUUAGGAAUUGCAUUCGAUACUGGUCAGCUAGAGUAUGGGAGAGGAUGGUAGAAUUCCAGGUGUAGCGGUGAAAUGCGUAGAGAUCUGGAGGAAUACCGAUGGCGAAGGCAGCCAUCUGGCCUAAUACUGACGCUGAGGUACGAAAGCAUGGGGAGCAAACAGGAUUAGAUACCCUGGUAGUC
RNAcentral lists this ribosomal RNA (469 nucleotides) under uncultured bacterium. RNAcentral describes it as "bacterial SSU rRNA". It matches the Rfam family "Bacterial small subunit ribosomal RNA", at positions 335 to 795 of the family's 1533-position model. The record is from RNAcentral.